Molecule: non-coding RNA, 3043 nt
Organism: Salvia hispanica
Lineage: Eukaryota; Viridiplantae; Streptophyta; Magnoliopsida; Lamiales; Lamiaceae
Source: RefSeq, a predicted model, not a curated record
GAUUAAUAAUUACCAUGAAAUUCUGAACAUCAAACGCACUGUUACUUGACUAACGACAACCGCCGGCCACCGCAUCCCGCCGCCCGCCGCCGCUACAAUGACGGAAUUCCUAGACCUCGAAAUUCAGGACUCCGUCCGCAUGCCGUGGAACGUCCUCCCCGGCACUAAAGCCCACGCCGCCAACUGCGCCAUCCCGAUCGCCGCCAUCUACACGCCUCUGAAGCCGCUCCCCGAGGCCACGCCGCUCCUCCCUUACUCGCCGCUCCGAUGCCGCAGCUGCCGAUCCGUGAUCAAUCCGUUCUCGAUCGUCGAUUUCUCCUCCGUCAACAAGAUAUGGAUCUGCAGCUUCUGCCUCCAGCGCAACCACUUUCCGCCGCUUUACCAGUCGAUUUCCGAGCAGAAUUUCCCGGCUGAGCUGUUCCCGCAGUAUACGACUAUCGAGUACGAGACUCCUGCUCCGCAGCCGCAGGAUAAGGCGCAGCCUGGGAGCACUAAUGUUUUUUUGUUUGUGGUGGAUACUUGUGUUAUCGAGGAGGAGCUGGGGUAUUUGAAGUCCGCUAUGUUGCAGGUGUUGGGAGUGGUGCCUGAGAAUUGUUUGAUCGGAUUGAUUACAUUUGGUACAUAUGUGCAUGUUCAUGAGCUUGGCUUUGGGCUGAUUCCAAAAGUUCACGUGUUCAAGGGGACAAAAGAGGUGACUAAGGAUCAAUUGUUGGACCAGAUGGGCUUCUUUACAAAAAGACCAAGGCCAACUACAGGUGUCAUAGCUGGCGUGAGAGAUGGUCUGUCACAGGAGAGUGUUGGAAGGUUCUUGUUACCUGCGUCAGAUUGUGAGUUCGUUCUUAAUUCGAUAUUAGAGGAGCUUCAGAAAGAUCCUUGGCCAGUUCCAUCUGAUCAACGGGCUGCUAGGUGUACUGGUGCAGCAUUGAGUCUGGCUGCUCAUUUGCUGGGGGCAUGUGUCCCUGGUUCUGGCGCUAGAAUUAUGGCAUUUUUGGGUGGACCAUCAACAGAGGGGCCAGGAGCUAUAGUGUCCAAAAGUCUGUCUGAACCUAUACGUUCCCACAAGGACCUGGACAAAGAUUCGGCUCCUCACUACCACAAAGCUGUGAAGUUCUAUGAAGCACUUUCAAAACAACUUGUUCAUCAAGGACAUGUGCUAGACGUUUUUGCUUGUGCACUUGAUCAGGUUGGAGUUGCCGAGCUUAAAGUAGCAGUUGAAAAAACUGGAGGGCUUGUUGUUCUUGCUGAAAGUUUUGGGCAUUCAGUUUUCAAGGAUUCCCUACGAUGUAUUUUCCAAGCUGGUGAUCAUGAUCUGGGACUGGCAUCAAAUGGUAUAUUUGAGAUCAACUGCUCAAAAGAUAUCAAAAUUCAGGGAAUAAUUGGGCCUUGUGCAUCACUUGAUAAGAAAGGUCCUUUGUGCUCUGAAACUGUUAUUGGCCAAGGGAACACCACUGCAUGGAAGUUAUGUGGCCUUGAUAAAAAUACUUCCUUGUGUAUAGUAUUCGAUGUUGCUAAGAAAGAGAGUCCAGACAUUGUUUCUCAAUCAGCAAACAACCAGUUCUAUUUCCAGUUUCUGACAUAUUAUCAACACAGCAAUGGGCAAAUGAGACUCCGUGCUACUACUCUCUCGAGAAGAUGGGUUGCUGGACCUGGGAUCAAAGAUGAACUGAUAUCUGGAUUUGAUCAAGAAGCAGCUGCUGUAGUAAUGGCACGCCAAGUUUCUUUCAAAAUGGAAACUGAGGCUGAAUUUGACCCAAUAAGGUGGCUGGAUAAGUCAUUGAUACAUAUAUGUACACAAUUCGGAGAGUACCAGAAGGAUAACCCAUCUUCUUUUGGGUUAUCCCCUAGACUAUCAAUAUUUCCUCAGUUCAUGUUCCACCUGCGGCGUUCACAAUUUGUCCAGGUAUUCAACAAUAGCCCCGAUGAGACGGCAUACUUUAGGAUGAUUCUGAACAGAGAAAAUGUUUCUAAUUCAGUUGUCAUGAUUCAACCUUCCCUGAUCUCCUAUGCUUUCAACUCUGGGCCAGAAGCUGCACUUCUCGAUGUGGUUUCCAUUGCUGCUGAUAAAAUCCUUCUUCUUGAUUCGUAUUUCACUAUUGUUGUAUUUCAUGGAGCAUCUAUUGCUCAAUGGCGAAAAGCUGGAUAUCAUGAAUUGCCUGAACAUCAGGCUUUCGCUCAGUUGCUACAAGCUCCCAGAAGUGACACAGAUACGAUAAUAAGAGAAAGAUUCCCAGUUCCUCGUCUUGUAAUCUGUGAUCAGCACGGUUCUCAGGCCCGUUUUCUUCUAGUGAAGUUAAAUCCGUCAGCUACUUAUAAUUCAGAUACUCAGGCAGCUCCUGGAGGUGAUAUCAUCUUCACUGAUGAUGUCAGCUUUGAGGUCUUCUCGGACCACCUGCAGCGCUUGGCAGUUCAAUAGAGUGGUACUUACCAACACUUUCUGAGGCAGGGGAGCCCGCCCCCUUACCCCCAGAAAACUCACCAGCAAGUGGGAUCGCUGCGGUCAUGGACGGAUUCACUUCUUUUCAGGGUCCAUAGUUCAACAUUGUUCUCACCUAGACUUUUGUUUUUGUGCUUGUAACAGGUAGUCACCGGCGAACUAACUGAACGAGCUGACCUGACCAGCUCGCUCAACAGAGGUAGCUUCAAGCGGGAUGGUGAGCGUGGGCUGGUGUGUUUCGAAAUGAGGACCGACAUCGAGAGAGUAAGAUUUGAUUCAAAUUUCUUUUCUUUCCUGAUAAGAAAAAAGUUGAUCUUGUAUUAUGGUGUGUGAGGAGAAGGUGUUGUUUUUGCCACUCCAGACAGACAAUAGAGGCGUUAACUAUGAGAAAAAAGAAGUAAAAAAUGAAUUUGGUGUGAAAUACUAUGGAGAAUUGGAAGUGAUGGAUCAAUGCAAAUAUCAAUACUUUUUUGUGUCAUCAUGUCUUGACAGACUGUAUUUAGGAACAAUCAGCUGAUUUAUAUAGUGAAGAAGAGAAACUAUAGAUUUGUGGUCUUUUCUAUCAUUGUAAUUUGAUCCAGCUUGUUAUAAUGUGUUUAUAACCAUGAA